GGAGAUCUCUGAAUGGGGGAACCCACCUAGGAUAACCUAGGUAUCUUGUACUGAAUCCAUAGGUGCAAGAGGCGAACCAGGGGAACUGAAACAUCUAAGUACCCUGAGGAAAAGAAAUCAACCGAGAUUCCCUUAGUAGUGGCGAGCGAACGGGGAUUAGCCCUUAAGCUUCAUUGAUUUUAGCGGAACGCUCUGGAAAGUGCGGCCAUAGUGGGUGAUAGCCCCGUACGCGAAAGGAUCUUUGAAGUGAAAUCGAGUAGGACGGAGCACGAGAAACUUUGUCUGAACAUGGGGGGACCAUCCUGGAGAUCUCUGAAUGGGGGAACCCACCUAGGAUAACCUAGGUAUCUUGUACUGAAUCCAUAGGUGCAAGAGGCGAACCAGGGGAACUGAAACAUCUAAG
Molecule: ribosomal RNA, 403 nt
Filed under: Acinetobacter baumannii
Lineage: Bacteria; Pseudomonadati; Pseudomonadota; Gammaproteobacteria; Moraxellales; Moraxellaceae
Description: bacterial LSU rRNA
Rfam family: Bacterial large subunit ribosomal RNA (bases 1-317)
Source: RNAcentral